AUGAGGGCUCAAUACAUGCUCAGCGCGUCUGAGUGCAGAAGGCAGGUGUUGCCUUCAUCAGCUUCCAACUUCCAAAGUCUGCGGCUCCCUUGCCUGAACGCAAUGUCGACAAGCCAUCAGAGGAGUUCACUUUCAGCUCAUCGGUUGUCGUUACAUUGGGCUUCGGCCGUGGCGCGCAUCACUGCAGCAACAUGGGGAGGGAGCAACUGCUGCGUGCAUAUGCAGGAGCAGCAACAAGCAACCGACGUGAUGGUUGGUUGGCAAUGGAAGCCUCGAUGGAGCAGUCCAGAAAGGGGAGAACUCUACAGUGGAGAAACGUGA
RNAcentral lists this ribosomal RNA (321 nucleotides) under Triticum aestivum (bread wheat). RNAcentral's name for it is "partial small subunit ribosomal RNA". The record is from RNAcentral. Lineage: Eukaryota; Viridiplantae; Streptophyta; Magnoliopsida; Poales; Poaceae.